Long non-coding RNA from Mytilus trossulus (common blue mussel), 489 nucleotides. RefSeq lists it as uncharacterized. The transcript has 3 exons. The record is from RefSeq and is a predicted model, not a curated record. Lineage: Eukaryota; Metazoa; Mollusca; Bivalvia; Mytilida; Mytilidae.
CCUGCAUGUAAUCACUCAGGAGGUCCUCCUGAGCGGUGUUUGACGUACCGGGAAAAUCUUAUCUGAUUCUAAAUCAAUUCAUCGGUUACACUCCCCUGUCACCAGUGAUCCUUUUUUGCUGACAUUCUGAAAAAGUAUUGUGUAGUCCCUGUGGCAAGAACAUUAAAUAUAAAGGGGAAACUAUAAACAGAAGAAAUUAUCAACAAAAUAAGAUUUACAGAGGUCAACAAAGCCUAAAUGGUCAGACAUCUUGAUUUUCAUGGUCAUCAUUCACAGAUCAAUACUGAACAGAAAACUUAAAGCUGAUAUUUUUCUCCAUAGUGCGACUUUUUUUAUUAACUUGAAAUGGAACGUGUUUUUUCCUACAUUUAUUUGAAAGAGGAAAUUUCAACAUGAUGACUAUAAACAAAAAGGAGUCAUAUCAUCACGAGCAUUGAUGCACAAGAACUUGAUCAUAAAGAUACAACAAUGUAAAUAUCAAUUGAAAGA